AUGUGCACCCCCCUUACAAAAAAAAAUGAAGACAAAAAGAUUGAGGCCCAAGUAGCAAUGACCUAAUCCGGCCCAACCAAAUCCUAAGACAUGGCAGGCGCCAUCAGCUUCAUGGCGGGCGCCAUGAUGUCUGGAGCUUUAAUGGGAAGAAUCCUCAUUUUUCACCAUUUUCACCUUCUUCAACCUCUUCAAACCCAUUUUC
Molecule: long non-coding RNA, 202 nt
Filed under: Lathyrus oleraceus (garden pea)
Lineage: Eukaryota; Viridiplantae; Streptophyta; Magnoliopsida; Fabales; Fabaceae
Description: Pisum sativum (pea) long non-coding RNA (PSAT_LNC018476)
Source: RNAcentral